AUUUAGCGCCUCAGCCACGAUCCAUCCGGUCAGUGCAGUGGAGAGAAUGGGCUUGCCUCUCCCUCCCAUUAAUUAGUGCUUCAACUAACCUGUCGUGUCCUGCACUUCAGUUGCGAGUCUGACUGACUGAUUAGCAGCAGCGAUGGAGGUAAGCUUCGGGCUGCGAGUCUGUGAGAGAUCAUCCACACAGCUCCAGCCUCCUCCACUGACUAGCACUGACAGCUGAGUGCCUCAGCAGCCUCCGAGCUGCAGAUCGCUGGACACGGCUACACAAGCAUUGAAAAGCGCAGACCAAUACAAGUAACCGAUGAUGGCUUUGACGAAAUAGGAGAGAAUUGAGGUCAUUUUGAUGUCUGGAGAACAAAGUUUUUGUGUCAUAGCUGCACAUUUUAUCAGUUGGCACCCAGAAAGUCAGGUGCCUAAUUUCCAAAUUCCAAGAAACUGGGACUGUGGCUCACAAGUCACGGAGUGGUCGUCCAAAAAGUGCUACUGAAGAAACCUCCUCAACAAUGUCUUUGGCAUCCUUCGUGAAGAGCCCACAAUGCAGCACACGACGUUUGACAUCAAAAUGGAGAUUCAGGGACCCAAUCUCCAGCUCACAGACACAGAUGACUGUAAAAUCACAGGAGCUGGUUUGGAUUUUCUCUAUCUCCAAGAAUGUUCAUAUACGUGUAUGCAGCAGAAGCUGACAACCUAGUAUAUUAAUAUCCGUCUACUAAAAUAACGGAUAUUUCAGGAGUUCAGCAUAUUGGAUUGACCUGUGUAACUAUGGUAACCAUUGACGCUGACAAAUCGGACACUCUGAAGCUGUAAAUACGUCACCAAACACAAAAGCCGUCACUAUGGUAACGAACACAGUGAGAGUCACGGGCAGACUACGAGACGGCGGGAUGACGUAUAUAGCAACAUGUGACCCACGCCAUAGCGUAAUGACGUAUCAUCACGUGACUCAAGCCGGUCACAUGACCGGAGGACGAGAACUGCCUUUUGCUAUGCAAUGGGGAUUUGUGAAAAUGAUAUACGGGGGCGUGUUCCUUGAGUAUGUGACCGGACCUUGCAUGUCAAUCCCAUAUCUGAUUUGAGAUUAGGGGGAAGACGUCAGAGAGGGUUGUUCCUGGCACACGAGUGUCAAAGACUCUUAGUGAUAACUAUGUAUAGCGACCAGCUGUGCCGGGACCAAUCGGAAUAGAGGAAGGGAUUUUUAAACCGGAUUAGGAGACACAACUGGCAUUCUCAAAGGGAGCUGACCUUGAAAAAGACCCAGGCAGGGUCGGAACGCGUGGGUGCCCCGGUGGAUAUACUUGUGAAAGGAGGUCGUGGUACGAUCAAUGCCAAAGAAGGGAGGCGGUCGGACACCAGAGGAACUCUCCUGCUGCAGCUGGGAAGCCUGAUGUCCAUACGUCUGUUAAACUGUUAUGCCAGUUUUCAACCUGCAUUUGGUAAUUACCCAUUGCCUACCUGUUCAGGAUUUAGUCCACCAUUGAAUGCCAAUACAUCUAUUGCUGUCUAAACAUAGUGAUAGAAAGUGUUUUUUUUCAACUGACCACUAUUUUUAUUUCAAUUUUUAUUGAAUUGUUAUGUGAUUUUGUGAUAUUAAAUCUGUUUUUAUUAGAAGGUACUACACUAUGUUUCUUUAUAUUUUCUUUUUUUGGGGUACAUUGAGCCAAAAGAAGGAAAUUGCAUGAACACGAAUUUAUUGACCUCCUUGCAGCGCUGGUUCAGUGGUAUCCUAUAUGUCUGUGUGUGUCUAAUUGGAAGUGGAGAGUGGUGAAACUCCUUUUAGUUUACCCGGAUAGCAGCUGUGGUAGCGCACUGUCUUCCUUCUAUUUUUGUAUAAUACUGUAUAUAUACGUAGAGAAUGGGGAAAUACAAAACUUUACUGUCUAUAAUGCAUCUGAUGCAGUGGAGCAAUGUUUUUCAUAUGCGCAUGCGAUGCUUUGCACUAAUGAUGUUUAUACCAAUGUUUAAACGUGGGAGGGGUAUUUCCAAACUCAAAUUUAAAUUGCAGUGUAAAAAUAAAGUUUCCCAGCAUCUGUGGGCUACAGGCAGUCUUUGCUCUGUAUGCCAAGAAAAUAAAUGUAUUUGCUCCCCAUGCAGUGCAUCAUGGUUUAUUCCAAGUGUAAAGUUUUUUUGUUUUGCUCCCAACUCAGAAUCAGCCUCACUGUGUACUUAAAGUGAAUGUCACAGUAAUCUAAAGUCAAUAGUUAGGUAAAAUAAUAGACAUACACAACAAUAAACAAAUAUAUAUUACAGUAUACAAAAAUGGGCCAGAUUAGAAUGUGAAAAUCUACCAUGUCAGUAAAAAUGUACUGUAAUCUCACCAUUUCAAUCCCAGAAUUAAACUGUUAUUAUUAUUAUUAUUAUUAUUAUUAUUAUUAUUACUAUUGACUACUGAGGCGCCACAGUGUCUGCUGAUCAUGGAAAACAGGCCAUACAUAAGAUGCAAAGCAGAACAAAUAAAUGCAGAUAUGAAAGCAGAGGCUACAGAUGUCUACUCAACAUCAUUGCUGCAGUCGCGCCUCGUCCCGUGAGACUGCUAG
Long non-coding RNA from Pseudophryne corroboree (corroboree frog), 2540 nucleotides. RefSeq lists it as uncharacterized. The transcript has 5 exons. NCBI's taxonomy places the organism in Eukaryota, Metazoa, Chordata, Amphibia, Anura, Myobatrachidae. The record is from RefSeq and is a predicted model, not a curated record.